Molecule: ribosomal RNA, 500 nt
Filed under: uncultured bacterium
Lineage: Bacteria
Description: bacterial SSU rRNA
Rfam family: Bacterial small subunit ribosomal RNA
Source: RNAcentral
GAUGAACGCUAGCGGCAGGCUUAACACAUGCAAGUCGAGGGGUAGGUUACUUCGGUAAUUGAGACCGGCGCACGGGUGCGUAACGCGUAUACAAUCUACCUUUUACAGAGGGAUAGCCCAGAGAAAUUUGGAUUAAUACCUCAUAGUAUUUUUGAAUCGCAUGAUUUGAUUAUUAAAGUUCCAACGGUAAAAGAUGAGUAUGCGUCCCAUUAGCUAGAUGGUAAGGUAACGGCUUACCAUGGCUACGAUGGGUAGGGGUCCUGAGAGGGAGAUCCCCCACACUGGUACUGAGACGCGGACCAGACUCCUACGGGAGGCAGCAGUGAGGAAUAUUGGACAAUGGGCGCAAGCCUGAUCCAGCCAUGCCGCGUGCAGGAAGAAGGUCCUAUGGAUUGUAAACUGCUUUAUACAGGAAGAAACACUCGGACGUGUCCGAACUUGACGGUACUGUAUGAAUAAGCAUCGGCUAACUCCGUGCCAGCAGCCGCGGUAAAGUCAAG